Molecule: ribosomal RNA, 460 nt
Filed under: uncultured bacterium
Lineage: Bacteria
Description: partial 16S ribosomal RNA
Rfam family: Bacterial small subunit ribosomal RNA
Source: RNAcentral
CCUACGGGUGGCAGCAGUGAGGAAUAUUGGUCAAUGGACGGAAGUCUGAACCAGCCAUGCCGCGUGCAGGAUGACGGCUCUAUGAGUUGUAAACUGCUUUUGUACGGGAAUAAUAGUUUUCACGUGUUGGGAUUUGAAUGUAUCGUAAGAAUAAGGAUCGGCUAACUCCGUGCCAGCAGCCGCGGUAAUACGGAGGAUUCGAGCGUUAUCCGGAUUUAUUGGGUUUAAAGGGAGCGUAGGCGGUCGGGUAAGUCAGAUGUCAAAUGUCGGGGCUUAACCCCGUGCCUGCAUCUGAGACUGUUCGUCUAGAGAGCGGAUGCAGCAGGCGGAAUUAGUAGUGUAGCGGUGAAAUGCUUAGAUAUUACUCAGAACACCGAUUGCGCAGGCAGCUUGCUAAUCCGCAUCUGACGCUGAUGCACGAAAGCGUGGGUAGCGAACAGGAUUAGAUACCCGUGUAGUC